This 82-nucleotide transfer RNA is filed under the name Bacteroidota bacterium. RNAcentral's name for it is "tRNA-Leu". It matches the Rfam family "tRNA". From Rfam's summary of the family: Transfer RNA (tRNA) molecules are approximately 80 nucleotides in length. Their secondary structure includes four short double-helical elements and three loops (D, anti-codon, and T loops). Further hydrogen bonds mediate the characteristic L-shaped molecular structure. tRNAs have two regions of fundamental functional importance: the anti-codon, which is responsible for specific mRNA codon recognition, and the 3' end, to which the tRNAs corresponding amino acid is attached (by aminoacyl-tRNA synthetases). tRNAs cope with the degeneracy of the genetic code in two manners: having more than one tRNA (with a specific anti-codon) for a particular amino acid; and 'wobble' base-pairing, i.e. permitting non-standard base-pairing at the 3rd anti-codon position. The record is from RNAcentral. Lineage: Bacteria; Pseudomonadati; Bacteroidota. RNAcentral also lists the same sequence under 1 other name.
GCGGAUGUGGCGAAAUUGGUAGACGCGUCAGACUUAGGAUCUGGUGCCUUCGGGCAUGGGGGUUCGAGUCCCUCCAUCCGCA